AACGCAACUUGCGCCCCUCGGCAUUCCGAGGGGCACACCUGUUUGAGUGUCGUGAAUUCCUCCACCUUUCGUCUUUUGAUCGAGAGGCUGGGAUUUGGGGGCCUCUGCGGGCCUUUUGUGGACCCGCUCCCCUUGAAUGCAUGAGUGAAGACCCUCGCUACCUUGGUGUGAUAAUGUCUACGCCUCGGCCGGUCGAGAUGAGGCCUUCGCUUCCAACCGUCCGUCUUUGGACAAUGUGAUACGAACUUGACCUCAAAUCAGGUGGGACUACCCGCUGAACUUAA
Molecule: unclassified non-coding RNA, 284 nt
Filed under: uncultured fungus
Lineage: Eukaryota; Fungi
Description: partial contains 5.8S ribosomal RNA, internal transcribed spacer 2, and large subunit ribosomal RNA
Rfam family: 5.8S ribosomal RNA (bases 1-52)
Source: RNAcentral